RNAcentral lists this ribosomal RNA (541 nucleotides) under Entrophospora sp. Its description in RNAcentral is "partial small subunit ribosomal RNA". Lineage: Eukaryota; Fungi; Glomeromycota; Glomeromycetes; Entrophosporales; Entrophosporaceae. The record is from RNAcentral.
CWKCCRCGGYAWUYCCAGCUCCAAUAGCGUAUACUAAAGUUGUUGCAGUUAAAAAGCUCGUAGUUGAAUUUCGGGAUUGACACAUCGGUCGUGCCCUAAGGGGUAUGAACUGGUGUAGUCAAUUUCUCACCUUCUGGAGAACCGCGAUGCCCUUAAUUGGGUGUCACGGGGAACCAGGACCUUUACUUUGAUAAAAUUAGAGUGUUUAAAGCAGGCAUUUUGCUUGAAUACAUUAGCAUGGAAUAAUAAAAUAGGACGGCAUGAUUCUAUUUUGUUGGUUUCUAGGAUCACCGUAAUGAUUAAUAGGGAUAGUUGGGGGCAUUAGUAUUCAAUUGUCAGAGGUGAAAUUCUUGGAUUUAUUGAAGACUAACUACUGCGAAAGCUAUUUGCCAAGGAUGUCUUCAUUAAUCAAGAACGAAAGUUAGGGGAUCGAAGACGAUCAGAUACCGUCGUAGUCUUAACCAUAAACUAUGCCGACUAGGAAUCAGACGAUGUAYRAWWKYYYAAUGACUCGUUCGGCGCCUACGGGGAAAAAAAAAAC